CUUGAUGUGGGGGAUACCAUUGGAGACGAUGGCUAAUACCGCAUAAUGCCUACGGGCCCAAGAGGGGGACCUUCGGGCCUCUCGCGUCAAGAUAUGCCCUAGGUGGGAUUAGCUAGUUGGUGAGGUAAUGGCUCACCAAGGCGACGAUCACUAGCUGGUCUGAGAGGAUGAUCAAGCACACUGGAACUGAGACACGGUCCAGACUCCUACGGGAGGCAGCAGUGGGGAAUAUUGCACAAUGGGCGAAAGCCUGAUGCAGCCAUGCCGAGUGUAUGAAGAAGGCCUUCGGGUUGUACAGUACUUUCAGUUGUGAGGAAGGGGGUGUCGUUAAUAGCGGCAUCUCUUGACGUUAGCAACAGAAGAAGCACCGGCUAACUCCGUGCCAGCAGACGCGGUAAUACGGAGGGUGCGAAGCGUUAAUCGGAAUUCACUGGGCGUAAAGCGCAUGCAAGUGGCUCAUUAAGUCAGAUGUUGAAAGCCCCGGGGCUCAACCUCGGUACUGCUAUUUGAUUCUGUUGAACUAGAGUACUGUAUAUGGGGUUAGUAUUUCAGUUGUAGCGGUUAAAUGCGUAGAGAUCUGAAGGAAUACCAGUGGCGAAGGCGGCCUCCUGGACAGAUACUGACACUCAGAUGCGAAAGCUUGGGGAUCAUACAGGAUAAGAUACCCUGGUAGUCCACGCCGUAUACGAUGUCUACUUGGAGGUUGUGGCCUUGAGCCGUGGCUUUCGGAGCUAACGCGUUAAGUAGACCGCCUGGGGAGACGGUCGCAAGAUUAAUACUCAAAUGAAUUGACGGGGGCCCGCACAAGCGGUGGAGCAUGU
RNAcentral lists this ribosomal RNA (821 nucleotides) under Vibrio sp. CBMAI 1201. Its description in RNAcentral is "bacterial SSU rRNA". It matches the Rfam family "Bacterial small subunit ribosomal RNA", at positions 130 to 942 of the family's 1533-position model. Lineage: Bacteria; Pseudomonadati; Pseudomonadota; Gammaproteobacteria; Vibrionales; Vibrionaceae. The record is from RNAcentral.